GGGGAACCUUUUAAGGGCUUUGAAACUCUGUUUAAAGUUGGUAUAAAAAAAAUCAUUUGAAAACUCAAUUUAAUUUUAAAUAUCAUUUGAAGCCAAUAGUUCAUCUAAACUGAAGUUGGACCAGCACUCGACAUCCUAGAAAUCAACUUGC
Molecule: long non-coding RNA, 151 nt
Organism: Telopea speciosissima
Lineage: Eukaryota; Viridiplantae; Streptophyta; Magnoliopsida; Proteales; Proteaceae
Exons: 3
Source: RefSeq, a predicted model, not a curated record